GUUCCGGCAUGCCCAGGCACAUUUGACCAAUUCUAAACGCUAAACGUUACUCCAGCACCCAAGUGUAACCCGUCACGAGGUGAGUCACAAUGAAUCCUAACCAGGACCCCAGUGGGAAAUGUGCCUCCCCUUUAGAUUUCUGAUUUCACUUCAGUUUCCCGGUAGCACUUAUGGUGUCAUUGAUCACCCCUCCCCACCCCCCAUCUCUUUCACAAUUUUGUCUUCCGUGGGUCACGUAUGUUUUGGAGAUGUCUGACUUUCCCAAGAGCUGGUGUUGAAUUUCCACCCAGUGUUUCCAGGACGGCAGCCUGUGUGAAGUGCUAGGGAAAGCCUUUUCAUGCCUUGAAAAAUACACACAAGUAUUUCUCUUCCUGAGCUUCAAGGAGACUCUGCAUUCAAAAGACCACUCCCGGGCACUGCCUUCUACCAACUUCCCCAUCCAGCUCUGAUUGCAUCGGACCACUGUCUUCCCUCCAUGCCUCCAGCCCUGAGGUUGUCAACGGGGUGCUCCAGCCUCCAUGUGCACCCUGUGACUUCUUUCAUCCUAGUCCUUCUGACCCUCGUGGCUUCUCCUGCUCCAAGGCCAAGCUCGGGACCCUGUCAUCAUCCCCGGGGACAGGCCCCAUCUUAGAGAGGAUCCACCCAGCUCCCCGCUCCUGAGCCAUCUUCCAGCUAUCCCGCCUCGAGACUCCCACCGCACCUGCUCCUGGGCUGCAGCUGCACCCAACAAGUGUCAACAUGUGGAUUGCUUCUAGAAUUUGGAUAUUAUGAACACUGCUGUGCUGAACAUUCUUGUACACUUAUAUGGUUUGGCUGUGUCCCCACCCAAAUCUCAUCUUGAAUUGUAGCUCCCAUAAUUCCUAUGUGUCGUGGGAGGGACCCAAUGGGAGGUAAUUGAAUCAUAGGGGCAGGUCUUUCCCCUGCUGUCCUUAUGAUAGUGAAUAAGUCUCAUGAGAUCUGAUGGUUUUAUACAUGGGAGUUCCCCUGCACAAGCCCUCUUGUCUGCCGCCAUGUAAGAUGUGCCUUUGCUUCUCCUCUGCCUUCCACCAUGAUUGUGAGGACUCCC
This 1066-nucleotide long non-coding RNA is filed under the name Homo sapiens (human). Its description in RNAcentral is "HSALNT0177376". The record is from RNAcentral. Lineage: Eukaryota; Metazoa; Chordata; Mammalia; Primates; Hominidae.